GUUCCAUUAGCUCAGUUGGGAGAGCACUCGACUUUUAAUCGAGGAGUCAUGGGUUCAAGUCCCAUAUGGAGCA
RNAcentral lists this transfer RNA (73 nucleotides) under Lachnospiraceae bacterium. RNAcentral describes it as "tRNA-Lys". It matches the Rfam family "tRNA". Rfam says of the family: Transfer RNA (tRNA) molecules are approximately 80 nucleotides in length. Their secondary structure includes four short double-helical elements and three loops (D, anti-codon, and T loops). The record is from RNAcentral. Lineage: Bacteria; Bacillati; Bacillota; Clostridia; Lachnospirales; Lachnospiraceae.